CAGUCGCCGCGGUAAUACGAAGGGUGCAAGCGUUAAUCGGAAUUACUGGGCGUAAAGCGUGCGUAGGCGGUUUGUUAAGUCUGUUGUGAAAUCCCCGGGCUCAACCUGGGAAUGGCAAUGGAUACUGGCAAGCUAGAGUGUGUCAGAGGAUGGUGGAAUUCCCGGUGUAGCGGUGAAAUGCGUAGAGAUCGGGAGGAACAUCAGUGGCGAAGGCGGCCAUCUGGGACAACACUGACGCUGAGGCACGAAAGCGUGGGGAGCAAACAGGAUUAGAUACCCCCGUAGUCCCUGUCUCUUACAU
Molecule: ribosomal RNA, 301 nt
Filed under: uncultured bacterium
Lineage: Bacteria
Description: partial 16S ribosomal RNA
Rfam family: Bacterial small subunit ribosomal RNA
Source: RNAcentral